CGAGCGCGCGGCCGGGGGUGGGGCCUGCUCGCCUCUUUCGCGGGGAGACUUCUUCCUCCAGACGGACGCGUAGACUGCUCGCCCGGCUCCAGCGCCCGCUUCGCAGCAAUUAUGUACUAUCGGGGGGGAAAAAUCGCUGAAAAAGCUAUAGCAAUCUCAUCGUCAAGAGAGAGUCACUAUUAACAAUUUGGGAUACAUAAACAGAUAUUCGUGUUACAUAAAUGGGGUGCUAAUGUGAUCUACUGUUUAAUACAUGAAGGACUUUUUCUAUAUCAAUGCAUAAACAUCUUUCCACUGCCUUCUCAACUUGCACUGAUUUGGACCCAAAGCCUGUAAAGCAAGAAUUUUCUUCUCCCUGAACCUUGACCAAGUGGCCAACCUUAGCAAAGAAACUCCUAAAAGAUUUAAUAAAAUAUCACUGCAGUGGCCAAGAUGUUGGAUAGAAAUAAGCUGAAUUCAGGAGGAACCAAAAUGGAAAUGUUACCGAACCGAACUUGGGUCUGCUCGCCCGCUGCACAGCAAAGCCAAUCUACUGACACCGGGUUGUGGUGAAGGAAAGUACAGCGUUUAUUUGCAGGGUGCCAAGCAAGGAAAACAGGCAGCUCGUGUUCAAAAGACCCGAACUCCCCGAUGGCUUUCAGGGAAGGGUUUUUUAAGGCCAACAUUUGGGGCAAGGGUUGCAGCUCGUGGACUUUCUUCUGAUUGGUUGGUGGUGAGGUAACAGGGUGAUUUUUCGGGAUUCUUAAUCAUUAACCUUCUGGUUCCAACCAGUCUGGGGUCUGCCUUCCUGUUAGCAUGUAGUCACCAUCCUCCACUGGGUGGGGGGGUCUUAGUUUCUGCAGAAAAACUCAAAGAUAUGCUUCAGAUUGUUAUGUAUAUCCCUUGAAGAGGAACUAGUACUCUGUUUUACUGCUGAAAUAUUGUUUAAGCUAUCAUUACUUUUCUUGCCUAACUGCUUUUCCUUUGUUUCUGCAUUCCCUCACUUCCCUAAUUUGUAACUGUUUGAGUCUGCUUUUUGGAACCAGGGAAGGCCUAGGAGACUAAAGCCUUUUUCUACAAACAAGAAAUGGGGGACAUGGAGGGGCUUUUGUAACUGGGAGGGCCCCACAGGGUCCUGCUUGGUCUCAGUCCCCCCUUUUCUUUGAUACUUCUCAAUCCUAAAGGGAGCAGGGGUGGGACAAGAAAGGGAGUAAAGUUUUGGAUAGAGAGGUUAAUCAUAAACUCGUCAGGGGAACUUGGUCUUAGGGGGACUUGGUUUCAGAAACUCCUUGAGGGUAAAUCAUGAUGUGUUUAUGAAAAUAUGAAAAAAAUAAGACUUGGAAGUCUAGCUGUCCUAUCCACAAAAAGCCCUCAAUGAAACAAAAAAGUCUAUCUUGACCUUAAAUCAAACAUGUAUUCAUUUGUAUGUUUUAAGUUAGAUAAAAUAUUAAGGUUAUGUGUGUAUGUAUUUUAAAAAUCAUCUUAUUGACCAAUUUUUAAAAAGUUAACUCACCAACUACUGGGUCUUAUCAGAUAAGAGGGCUUUUAUCUUACACUGAUAAAAUGAAAUAGUAUGCAAUAGUAUGCAAUCUUUAAACAUACUGUUUUGAAUUAUAUAUAAUCUCAUAUAGAGGUGCUCAUCAUAUAUGGUUAAAUGAGAGAGGAGACUAUAGAAUAGAAUGGGUAGUACCAUUCCAUUUUUGUAAAAACAUGUUUAGAACAAAGAAGAAUAUAUGGCAAAUGUAAAUGGUGGGUAGUGGAAUUACGGCUGAUUUUAUGCUCUUUAUUUCUUAAUUUUUAUAAUUGUACUAUCAUUUUGUUUUACUUUCAUAAUAAAAAUUAAUAAAUUAAUAAAUA
This is a long non-coding RNA of Lagenorhynchus albirostris (white-beaked dolphin), 1836 nucleotides long. RefSeq lists it as uncharacterized. The transcript is spliced from 3 exons. NCBI's taxonomy places the organism in Eukaryota, Metazoa, Chordata, Mammalia, Artiodactyla, Delphinidae. The record is from RefSeq and is a predicted model, not a curated record.